AAGAGACAGCAGCAGCCACGGUAAUACGUAGGGUGCAAGCGUUAAUCGGAAUUACUGGGCGUAAAGCGUGCGCAGGCGGUUAUAUAAGACAGAUGUGAAAUCCCCGGGCUCAACCUGGGAACUGCAUUUGUGACUGUAUAGCUAGAGUACGGCAGAGGGGGAUGGAAUUCCGCGUGUAGCAGUGAAAUGCGUAGAUAUGCGGAGGAACACCGAUGGCGAAGGCAAUCCCCUGGGCCUGUACUGACGCUCAUGCACGAAAGCGUGGGGAGCAAACAGGAUUAGAUACCCCAGUAGUCCCUGUCUCUUAUAU
Molecule: ribosomal RNA, 310 nt
Filed under: uncultured bacterium
Lineage: Bacteria
Description: partial 16S ribosomal RNA
Rfam family: Bacterial small subunit ribosomal RNA
Source: RNAcentral